This 20-nucleotide small nuclear RNA is filed under the name Arabidopsis thaliana (thale cress). RNAcentral describes it as "snRNA_19040". The record is from RNAcentral. Lineage: Eukaryota; Viridiplantae; Streptophyta; Magnoliopsida; Brassicales; Brassicaceae.
CAAUAGCGGUAUAAUAAACG